Molecule: ribosomal RNA, 253 nt
Filed under: uncultured bacterium
Lineage: Bacteria
Description: partial 16S ribosomal RNA
Rfam family: Bacterial small subunit ribosomal RNA
Source: RNAcentral
UACGUAGGUGGCAAGCGUUGUCCGGAUUUACUGGGCGUAAAGAGCGCGCAGGCGGUCGUUCAAGUCGCGUGUGAAAGCCCCCGGCUCAACUGGGGAGGGUCACGCGAUACUGAUCGACUGGAAGGCAGGAGAGGGUAGUGGAAUUCCCAGUGUAGUGGUGAAAUGCGUAGAUAUCGGGAGGAACACCGGUGGCGAAGGCGGUUCUCUGGGCCUGUACUGACGCUGAGGAGCGAAAGCGUGGGGAGCGAACAGG